UACAGAGGUCCCGAGCGUUGUUCGGAUUCAUUGGGCGUAAAGGGUGCGUAGGCGGCGGGGCAAGUCUGAUGUGAAAUCCUGGGGCUCAACCCUGGAACUGCAUUGGAUACUGCCUUGCUAGAGUACUGGAGAGGAAACUGGAAUUUACGGUGUAGCAGUGAAAUGCGUAGAGAUCGUAAGGAAGACCAGUGGCGAAGGCGAGUCUCUGGACAUUUCCUGACGCUGAGGCACGAAAGCCAGGGGAGCAAACGGG
Molecule: ribosomal RNA, 253 nt
Filed under: uncultured bacterium
Lineage: Bacteria
Description: partial 16S ribosomal RNA
Rfam family: Bacterial small subunit ribosomal RNA
Source: RNAcentral